This 334-nucleotide unclassified non-coding RNA is filed under the name soil metagenome. RNAcentral's name for it is "partial contains 5.8S ribosomal RNA, internal transcribed spacer 2, and large subunit ribosomal RNA". The stretch from base 1 to 120 matches the Rfam family "5.8S ribosomal RNA", at positions 35 to 154 of the family's 154-position model. The record is from RNAcentral.
GAUGAAGAACGUAGCGAAAUGCGAUAAGUAGUGUGAAUUGCAGAAUUCAGUGAAUCAUCGAAUCUUUGAACGCACAUUGCGCCCUUUGGUAUUCCUUAGGGCAUGCCUGUUCGAGCGUCAUUUAAACCUUCAAGCUCAGCUUGGUGUUGGGUGACUGUCCGCUUCACCGCGGACUCGCCUCAAAAUUAUUGGCGGCCGGUACUUUGGCUCUCGAGCGCAGCAGAAACGCGUAACUCGAGGGCCUCGUGCUGGCUCCCAGAAGCUAUCUUCACAAUUUUGACCUCGGAUCAGGUAGGGAUACCCGCUGAACUUAAGCAUAUCAAUAAGCGGAAGA